GACGAACGCUGGCGGCGUGCCUAAUACAUGCAAGUAGAACGCUGAGGGAGGAGCUUGCUUCUCUGGAUGAGUUGCGAACGGGUGAGUAACGCGUAGGUAACCUGCCUGGUAGCGGGGGAUAACUAUUGGAAACGAUAGCUAAUACCGCAUAAUAGUAGAUGUCGCAUGACAUUUGCUUAAAAGGUGCAAUUGCAUCACUACCAGUUGGACCUGCGUUGUAUUAGCUAGUUGGUGAGGUAACGGCUCACCAAGGUAACGAUACAUAGCCGACCUGAGAGGGUGAUCGGCCACACUGGGACUGAGACACGGCCCAGACUCCUACGGGAGGCAGCAGUAGGGAAUCUUCGGCAAUGGACGGAAGUCUGACCGAGCAACGCCGCGUGAGUGAAGAAGGUUUUCGGAUCGUAAAGCUCUGUUGUAAGAGAAGAACGAGUGUGAGAGUGGAAAGUUCACACUGUGACGGUAUCUUACCAGAAAGAGACGGCUAACUACGUG
Molecule: ribosomal RNA, 495 nt
Filed under: uncultured bacterium
Lineage: Bacteria
Description: partial 16S ribosomal RNA
Rfam family: Bacterial small subunit ribosomal RNA
Source: RNAcentral